RNAcentral lists this long non-coding RNA (359 nucleotides) under Lathyrus oleraceus (garden pea). RNAcentral's name for it is "Pisum sativum (pea) long non-coding RNA (PSAT_LNC008529)". The record is from RNAcentral. Lineage: Eukaryota; Viridiplantae; Streptophyta; Magnoliopsida; Fabales; Fabaceae.
CUAAUUUCUUUCGUGUCAAUUGAACCUUCAAACCGAGUUGUUUGCAAAUUUUGCCUUUUGCUUAUGUCUAAGUAGGGAGCAUUAUUGAAUAAAUUUGGUUUUGGAAUCUAUAGUUGGGGAGAGUAAAGUAAAAAGAUUUGAUUAGAAACUUGGAAAAGUGAGUUUUUAUGAAAGGGUGAAAAUAUGAAAAGAAACAAGAAAAAGAAAUCACCCUUGAAACCAUAGAGCAAAGAGAAAGAAAAGAAAGAAAAAACAAAGAAAAUGCUCAUGGUUGUGUGGAUGUGAAAAGAAAAAUAAAAAGAAAAAGAUAGGGAUCAAAGAAAUGGAAAUUGUGUAGAGUUGAAUGUUUGGGAAUGCUC